This 482-nucleotide ribosomal RNA is filed under the name uncultured bacterium. Its description in RNAcentral is "partial 16S ribosomal RNA". It matches the Rfam family "Bacterial small subunit ribosomal RNA", at positions 30 to 507 of the family's 1533-position model. The record is from RNAcentral.
AUUGAACGCUGGCGGCAUGCUUUACGCAUGCAAGUCGAACGGUAACAGGCCGCCAGGUGCUGACGAGUGGCGAACGGGUGAGUAAUGCAUCGGAACGUGCCCAGUCGUGGGGGAUAACUACUCGAAAGAGUAGCUAAUACCGCAUACGAUCUAUGGAUGAAAGCGGGGGGCCGUAAGGCCUCGCGCGAUUGGAGCGGCCGAUGUCAGAUUAGGUAGUUGGUGGGGUAAAGGCUCACCAAGCCAACGAUCUGUAGCUGGUCUGAGAGGACGACCAGCCACACUGGGACUGAGACACGGCCCAGACUCCUACGGGAGGCAGCAGUGGGGAAUUUUGGACAAUGGGCGCAAGCCUGAUCCAGCAAUGCCGCGUGCAGGAAGAAGGCCUUCGGGUUGUAAACUGCUUUUGUACGGAACGAAACGGCUCUGGUUAAUACCCGGGGCUAAUGACGGUACCGUAAGAAUAAGCACCGGCUAACUACGUG